ACCAACAACACUUGACACUAAUGAAAUCUGCCUACCUUAAAUAUCAGUGUUUACAAACACUAAAAGUGACCCCUAGUGCCACGCAUAAGGUAAUAAAUGCAAAAAUGACUCUUAGGCUGCUUUUAAUUAAGGCACACCUUUCCCUCCCACAGGUAAAUGUGGAGGAAAAGGUGGUUUAUGGAUUCUUGGGCAGCACCUGGCUGAGAAUCUUAAGGUUUUAACGCUUCAGUACCACAGUGGGAGUUGUUGAACGCUCACUGGUUCGUCACAGUCAGGAGUUGCUAACACAGAUUCUCCAACCUGUGAACAGCCACGAGCUACAGUAACAGUUCACAGGUGUCGACUUCCACUCUUAGAUCGCCUCUUCGUUCAAACGUGGAUGAAAGUCGUGGGGAGAUUUUGUGAUAAUGAAGUCGGCAGCAGCUCUCCAGACUGAGUGUCGCUCUGCUGACCUCUGCAAGCAUUAUUUGUUUAAAGCCCGGCUAAUCCUCGAUUGUCACGCUCCUCUAAUCCCAUCGCUGGCCUUCCUUCUGAAUCCCACCGCCUCCCCCCUUUCUCCUCACACGCAGACUUCAGAAAUCGCCACGACCGCCACUCCAACAUGAACCAAAUGUCAGCCUCAAAUUAUAGCUGCCGCUCUACCAUAGGUCACAGCUCCUCAAAUGUAUGUGGAGGACUGAGGAGGGGAAACUUGCAGAGGAGGCGGGGUAAUAAAAAACAAACAGCCUGUGCUGAGAUUAAAGAAAGAUGGUGACCAUGUUUAACCACUUCUCUUUCUACCUCUGACCUUUAAUUUUGGUCCAGAGUGAAAAAUUAAAAGUAAAAACUCUUGGACCAACCCACCUUCUGCCUCUACUGUCCAACAGCGGCUUUCCUGUGGCAAUGGUUGGGUUAACGGGUAAACUAGAAACAGGAGGCAGAACUGAAGGAUCAGCAAACAGGAAAACAAGGAAACUAAAAGUAAAAAUCAGUGUAAGGGAGCUCUGGCUAAAAUCGUGGAUAUUCUGUCCACUUUCACUCUCCUUCUCUUAAACAAGAAGUGGUUAUUCAUUGUUGGUAACCUAAACUGCAACAGGAAAAGUUAGCCUUAAUGUGCAGAUUUGUAGUGAAUGAGUGCGAUGUGGAGGACAACCUGUUUGUGACAAGAUCAUCAGACAAGAUCAAAUAUACAAAGCAGAGACAGAGAGUGAAAGUGGACAUCUUUGGUCUUUCAACAUAAAACUCAAAACUCUAUCUAUUAUCUGUUUAUAACCCAGUGAUGUCAUGUUCUGUACUGACACUAGAUGGCGUUAAACAUCUCGAGUCAGUACAGUGGACGCUGUCCUUACACAUGUGGCGUUUCACGUGCAAAACUUUGACGACAUUUUACUGGUGAGUGUUUUCGAUGUGUGCAGCUGGUUUUAAUCUUUAAUGUUUCUUUUACUCAUCUUUCCCUUUUAACAGGAAACUGUACUCAGCGUUUUGCCGGGUUAACUCACUGCACCAUCUUGCGGUACAAAUUGGUAUUACAUGAAAGUACAGCCCCCGCUUUGAUUCAAGCCGAUAUCUCGUAAACACAUUCAAAGAUGAUGUGAAGUCAUGAGGUCAUAGUCACUGUUCCUUCAUGUUCUAAUUAUAUAAUUAGAUAAUUGUUCAGAUGACUUUCUUCAGAUAAUUCAGAAAAAAAAACGUAUUUUUAAAAAAGUGAGUUUAAUUUUCUAUUUGAAUUUAUUUUGUUUAAAUAUUUAUUUUUGAUAUAUUUCUUGUAUGUCUGUGGAAGCAGCUGAAUGAAUAACGUUUGAAUGACUGAUGAUUUGAGGUGUUUCCAAUCAUCUGUUUUUCAGUCAUAACCCUGAUUCACGAGGAGGCGCUCUCUGCUGGGCGGGGGGUUUACCUCUGACCCCCCUCGGUCGUGGUCCCGCCGCAGGUUUGGUUUUAAUGGUGGCGUUGCUCUCGGCUGUUUCGUCUCAGACCGGUCUCUCCUGGAUUUUUUUUUAAUGUCACUGAGCAACCAAAAUGUUCCCAGAUUAGAAAAAAAAGGUGGACACCUGAGUCGUUCUUCCAGCUGUGAACGUGGAAAAUUUACAGGAAGAAGCAAUUACAGAAGAUUUGAGAGAUAAAAAGACAAACGAUUCAUGCAUAAUGCAGAGCAGCAGAUUUCACUAAAACCAUUUAGUGUCUUUUCAGCUCGAAUCAAAGCUUCAAGUCCUGAAUUCUGAUGAGCGCACCAGGCGGCCGCGAUCUGGAAAAUGAACAAUUAAGAAGCGCGUCGCUAAUUAAGCGCAGAGAUCAAGCGCCUUUCUCUCCCCGCCCUCAAGGAGCUUCUUCCACCGGGCCCCCUUUGAUCAAAGCGAGGCCCCGAGCGGCGAUCGAGCCCCGCGACGGCGCGUUUGUCCCGCCGGCUAAACGCGGAUUAACACUCAGAAGAGAGAGGAGCAAAAACCGACAGAGGCAGAAAACACAACAAAUAUUUCCUGCUGAAGGAUCCAUGAAAGCCGCGGCUUGUUGAAUCAUCAUGAGUGAAAACAAAGAGGCCCGCUGCUCUCUGCAACUCUGCUCUCCGAAGCCAAAUGCAAAUGGAGCAGCUGUAAAAGUUUGAUUCGCGCAUGUUUAAUGUUCCUCAUUCCUUUUCUUGUGCUCUUGUUCUUGGGGAACAUGCAAAGUUUAUCAGCAGGGCCUGCGUCCCGGCUUUCAUGUCGGGCCUCGGCACGUCGACGGCGCCGCUGACAGAGAUUGAGGAGUCAGGUAGGAGCAGAGUUCGCCUGCAGGGCCGCGUGACGCCCGUGUCUGCUAAUCGGCGCUGACGUGCUCCUGAUGGCAGCCCUUCAUUAGAAGCUCCUUUAAAGGAGCUCCGACCUUCUGCGGGACCCGGCGCCCGCCUGUGUCGGCCUUUGAUUCCCGCGCCUCCGCCGCUUUCAGCUCGUCAUAAUGACAGCGCCGCUGACAGCUCCUCGUCACGCGCCUCUUGUCGUCUUUUGUGGGAAGUUUUGCAACAAUUAGCAUAAAUAUUUGAUCUCCUUCCGCCCUGAUGCUGCUGUUGCCGCUGCUGAAAUGGGAUCCGGCUGAAAGGCUGCCGGAAAACGGCAAACCUUUGUAAAGUGUACUUUUCUCCCCGUUAACAUACAAAGAUGAAGCGAGGGAGGCAAACAGCCAAACAUAUGUACCCUUUGUGGAAUCUUUUAUUGAACAUAUUUGGGAGCAAAGAGAGCAGAGUUUGAUUACGAGGCAAAUGCAAAUCUCCCCACACUUGUACGCGUUAUGUAUUUCACACCAACUUAUUUACAUUCUAGAUGGAAAGCAAUCGGCUGGAAGUUUACCGAGGGAAUCGCGGCUCCCCUGCCGACAGAGAGUCAAGAAACUUUCAGGGGGUGGAAACCCGGUGCCCACUGUGGAAGACUUUACUUAAGCUGGAGGAAGAGCAUCAUUAAAAUUAAAGGCAGGCACAGAAUUUCACCAGUCGCCGCCGCCGGCUACCGCUCAGCACUUCAAAACAAACCGCGCGGCCCGCCGACUCCAGUCAAACGCUCUUCGUUCACUAUUUGAUGCCGUCUGUUGGAUCGGAGCUGAUUAUCUCCCCAGUGAAACAUUCACAGAAAGAAAACGAGAAGAAAAAGGUGAAAACUCGACAGAAACACGCAGCCUGAGAUACGACCGGAGGCCUCGAUUUGUUCGGACUAAUCCAGUUUAUCGAGGCUCAUCAUGUGACCCAGAGAAAUCCCACGAGUACAGAAACCAGAACGUCGGUCCGCCAUGAGGCAGGACCAAUACUCCAAAAUCAUAGACUGGAUAUAAAAGAUGGCUGUAGCCUCUAGGAAUUGGCAUUUCAACCAAAUACACAGAGUGAUAUACACUGUGAGCGCUUCUGUGUAUUUUGAAAGAUUACCUCACUAUUAGCAGGGCUUUGUUAGCAGCUACAGCCACCUGUCAGUCACAGGCCAUGCCCCUAAACAUGCCUAAAACAAUAUGCCUUAAAAUAGUUUAAACUGCUGUGUUAUUAACUGCCCCCUACACGUAAACAUGUUCAUGAUAUAACGUUAUAACAUGAGAGUCUAUGGGGACUGACUCACUGCUGGAGCCUCUGGUGGACAUUAGAGGAACUGCAGCUUUUACAAACUAUUUUGAUCUAACAAAUAGAUCUAUUUAUAUUUCUAAAUCAUGACCAUCCCUAGUAGCCACUGUGACAUCAACCAAUGGUUUGAGACAUCCUGUUUUAAGAACCCAGCACGAGCAUUUUUCCAUCUUGGCUUUUUGAUGUGAUGAGUGAUUAUUGGUGAUUACAACCAGAGACACCGCCCCCUACUGGACAUUAAAAGAAUGCAGGUUUACGACACUUCUACAUUGGAAAUCACACAGUAACUUCAGCACUGUUGACUGUUUCUGGUCUUCUUUAAUGUUUCAUUAUUAAAACCUUUGAACAGAAGUGGUGGUAACGAUCAGUCCCGAAGGCCUCCGUGUGUCUGUGGGCCUUCUUCUUCAUGGAUUAUGAAACACGGUGUUGCCAUUAGUUUCUGCAAUGUGUGUCUAUCUGACAAAUGCAGAAUGUAAAGUCAAACAAAGGCAUCAUCAUCACAGCAUGAUGGCCGACAGGAGUGUCACCGUGCGGCCACUUUAAAGAAGAAACAGCCCAUCUCCACAGAAGAUGGCGAUUCUCUCCCACGUGCUCGCUCUUCGUCUUCCGUCUCUGUGAAACAGCUUUUCACUCCAAGAACCUCAUCGUCAUCUGUCACCGAACUUCCUAACAAAGCCGUCAUGUAAAUGGACUCAGUCAGCUGUGUCCUCCAUCUCUGAUCCUCCUCUCCAAUAUAUAUAUAUCAUCAGCAUAAUAACCCUCAUCCACCCUCACCCGCCCCUGGGUGACCACAGGACUCCACCCACCUUCAGGCACUGGCAGCACCACUGGGAUUUAUUACCAAAGGCACGGAGGGGAUCCAGCGCAGGCUUCAUUACAGGAUGUCACUAACCCACGUCAACGACGUAAGAUUCUGACAUCUCGACCAGCUCUGCUUCUUUGAUUUAAGAUGAGUUUAUUUGGUGUUGAGGAAAAAGGUCAGAGGACUCGCAGCAGCACCUCCGUGAUUUCUUACCAAAUUUAAAUUUCACAGUACAAAGAAAAAAAAACAGGGUAUACUAAACUAUUCUGUUAAAAAACAGCAUGUAAAUAACAGAACUAACCACAGUGUUUACCAGACUUUAUUUCGGGGUGCUUUUAGCUCUAUAAUCUUGAUGGUUUAUGAGACUCUCCUGGUCUCGUCGCCUGCUGGGACUCCAUCUCGUCCCUGGCGCUCUUCAGGCUGAGCCAGGCCCCAAUGAGUUAUUAUUACAUCCUGAGAAUAUGCAAAUUGAGGCAGAGCGACGGUGUGUAUUUUUGAUGGAAGAAUACAAAUCACUGCAGACAUGACACUUUUUUAAUUUUCCUGAUGAAUGUAAUGCUUCAGAAAGAGGAAGGAUUGAUGACGGGGCGUAAUGAACUCUUUAGCACGUGGAAGCUCGCAGGCUUUUCAUUACAGCGUCCUGAGCGAAGCCGCUCGGGAUCCACGGAUCUGUCCUGACCGGCUCAACGAUGAACCUCGGGUCCAGGUCCUGGUCCGCACGGGGAGAAGAGUCUGCUUAUACACACACAUGAUCGGGUUUUUAUGAGCUCCAUCAGUACGCGGGGACAGAAAAGGCGAUGUAUGUAUCUUUGUGUAAACUGUUGCCUCUUCUUCCUUAUCUCCCUCCCUCUCACUCUAUCCCAGCAUCCUCCUCUGUCACGCCAACCCUCUGCAUGUCCUCCUUCACUACAUCCAUGAAUCUUCUCAGAGGUCUUCUUCUUUUUCUCCUGCCUGGCAGCUCCAUCUUCAUCAUCCUUUUUUUUUUAAUCUACUCUCCCUCCUCUGCACAUGCCCAAACCAUCUCAGCCUCGCCUCCAUAACUUUGAUUCCCAAACCGACUGUGUGACACUCAGAAAAGCAAAGAUUAUAAACUGUAUUUGAAUCAGAGACUUUGCAACCAUAAUUGUAGUUCACCUAAAUAGGAAUAAUAUCUUGGGUUUUGAUAUGAAUAUUUUAACAACAAAUAUCCUUUUACAGCUCAUAAAAACACAAACAGACAAAUAAAUAUUCUCUAAAGCAUUUAACACUUAAAUACUGACAAAUGAGACCCACACAGCAUUUUCCACAUCCUGACGUAACGAUCAGAAUAAUUAGUGAAGUUGAUAUUUGUCUACUUUUUCUUUAAAGGUAUAGUGUGCACAUUCUUUGCUACUAGAUGUCAGUAGAUUACAGUAACUGAGCUCUGUUUUCUAUCCCUCCCAAUUCAAGCAUAAUCCUACAGUGACGCCUGUAGUACAAACAUGUUUCAGUCAGCCAAGAGACAUCGAAAACAUUUAGACUGCACCCCAAAAUGGCCGCAGCCAGUCAGUGUGUUUCUGCUACUGUUUAGACCCCAGAGUUUUUCCCCAUCUGUGUCAGUCUGCUGUUGACCUCAGCUGCCAAUGCCGGUGAGGAGUAUUCACUUGGCUGUAAAACUGUGUGAAAGGAGUGCGAUAUGAGUCGAUGUGUCAGUGAAGCUUGUUGAGUAUAUGCUGAACUGCUGGUAAGCUCUGCUGUUAGCCUCUGUUAGUGAAACUUUCUUUUUAUUGGAUGUAACUUUGUUGGACUCUGAUGCUUGUAUGUAAUCAAACUGCUGUUUAUGAGAGGCAAAGUUAGCCUAACAUUAGCUAGGAUAAGGUUAAUUUACUUUUUUUCGGGGGGGGGGCAUAACAGUAAUAAUAAUAAUGUGCAAUAAACAUUCACUCAUUCUUUUAUUUAUUUUUGCUCAGAUCUUUCUUGCACUUUAAAAAAAUAGAAUUACUGUGUUUUGUUGUGUUUAGCUGUGCCCAUGUGGGACAGUUCCCAAUUCUGUUGUACUACUGUAGCAGGCAUCACUGUGCAAUGACAGUAAACAGUUAUCUUAUCUUUAUAAACAGCUUUUGUUGUUGUUUAUUUAGCUCUUGUAGGCUGUUCAGAGACUCGAGGGUCACAUAUCUGUAAAAAAUAAGUAAUUGUG
Long non-coding RNA from Oreochromis niloticus (Nile tilapia), 7005 nucleotides. RefSeq lists it as uncharacterized. NCBI's taxonomy places the organism in Eukaryota, Metazoa, Chordata, Actinopteri, Cichliformes, Cichlidae. The record is from RefSeq and is a predicted model, not a curated record. The transcript is spliced from 3 exons.